UUCAAAGUUACCCACUGUAUUUCAUGGGAAGAACCAUAAGAUCGAGCUGGACCCACAGAUGAACUAAGGAUGAAACCAGUUUUUUUCUAACCUAAUGAAACUCACAUCCCAACCAGGAUAAAGUCUCCACAUGGACAAGAGAUCUUUGGACAGAGAUCCCAGUUUAAAACCAAUGGAAUUAGAAGAAAUUGCAACCAAAAUAUCUGCGCUGGACCAAUGGAGAGCGAUAUUCAGUUCUCAGGGGUUGAAGAUCAAAAACCCAGCAAACCAGACAAACCAAGAUCCCCACAAAGCAGAUGAGGAAAGCGAGGAGAGAGCAGAGACUUCAAGCAGCAAGAAGCAUGGGACAUUUCCAGGCAAUAUUUUCUAUUCCAUCCCAAGGGAGCUGAUGAUAGCAUCAGACCUCGGUGGUCAGCCCAUCUCUAUAGAAAUGGCAAUGGAACUGAGGAAAAUUCUGUUUGGAAACACAUUUCAAACAUUCAACUAUGAAUGGAAGAAGUCAUGUUUUAAGUUCAGAGAGGCCUUUUCUGAGCUGGCUUAUGCUAUUGAAGCAGAGAAGGGUGGGGCAAGAGCAAUUCAACUGGUGGUACAAGCACACAUCAUUAAGUACUUAUUAUUUACCAAGAAUAAGAAUGAACACAGUCCUAUAAAGAGUUUAUCAGAAUUAAGCCAAAUACAGCAAGAAAGGGCCCUGGCAGCCUCAAUUGCGGAUAUCCUCUGGACGGCAGGAGAAAUGAAGAAAGCUACAAUCUGCCUCAUCACCAGUGACUCGUACUUCACAGAAAGCCCUGACUAUAAAACAGAUAACUUUACAGAAAAGCUUCAGCUUUUUGACUUUGUGGAAAAAGAUACACUGGAGAAAUUUCUUGGUGCCCACAUACACUGCUUUCAAGAUGAAGGGAGCCAUGGAGUCAUAUUAUUCCUGUACAGUUUGCUUUUCUCCAGGAAAAUUGCAAGGAUUCAACAAGACCUGGAUCACACAACAUCUCAGCUCUUACAUUUUUGUCUGGGAAAUUACGUUGUCAGACAGGCAGUGUUGAAUCUGAUGUUGGCUGGUAGAGCAAGCCCACAUGUCUUUAAUGGUGACCAGGCUGUGGAUGAUGACAAUAUGGAACAGAAGUACCAUGGAGUCCUUGCACGCAGUGAUGUCGGAUACUUACAUUGGAGUAGAGAGGAAAUGGAGCAGGACAGACUUCCCCAGGUGGGCAGCAUGCUAAAAACGCCAAAGUAUCCCAUCUGGCUUUGCAAUAUUAAUGGAAUCUACAGUGUCCUUUUUGGAACAAAUGUGUCUCUUUUGUGUGACUGGAAAAUGGAACAUAUUUUUGACCUUUAUUUCUACAGUGGGCAAUCUUCCCAAAAGAAAACAGCACACCUGACAGUAGAUACUCACUCACAUCACUGGGAGGAAUCCUACAAAAUAGAUGAAGGGGAUCAUGAAAAGAGAUUUCCAUCACUGGAAAUGAUUAUUAGAACCAAAUGGGAAGGUGCAGCUGUAAACUGGCAUGGGACUGUGCCAUUUUUUUAAACAUAUAUGGAUUUCAAAGGAAGCAAAGUAAAUGAUAUGACUAUAUACAGCACUGGACACUUUUUUUUUAUUGUUACAGCGUCCAGCAUUUUUGUGAAUGAGAAGCUACCUAUACGUAUACAAUUGGACAUUGCCGCAGAACACCUAUAUAGCACUUUUAAUGGAAUCCCUUACCAACUUUGAAUACUCCCCUAUCAACUCCCACACCCAGGACAAAACUGAUCAUCACUUGUUCAUAUGCCUCUACGGGAUGCUCUCUGUCUCUCCACCACACAGAAAAACCUGAACAUGAGGAUGUCUGUGAAUAUCGCCCCUACUCAUGCCCCUGCCCUGGAGCUUCUU
Molecule: RNA transcript, 1867 nt
Organism: Hyla sarda
Lineage: Eukaryota; Metazoa; Chordata; Amphibia; Anura; Hylidae
Gene: MINDY4B
Gene name: MINDY family member 4B
Exons: 16
Source: RefSeq, a predicted model, not a curated record